RNAcentral lists this transfer RNA (72 nucleotides) under Bos taurus (domestic cattle). It matches the Rfam family "tRNA". From Rfam's summary of the family: Transfer RNA (tRNA) molecules are approximately 80 nucleotides in length. Their secondary structure includes four short double-helical elements and three loops (D, anti-codon, and T loops). Further hydrogen bonds mediate the characteristic L-shaped molecular structure. tRNAs have two regions of fundamental functional importance: the anti-codon, which is responsible for specific mRNA codon recognition, and the 3' end, to which the tRNAs corresponding amino acid is attached (by aminoacyl-tRNA synthetases). tRNAs cope with the degeneracy of the genetic code in two manners: having more than one tRNA (with a specific anti-codon) for a particular amino acid; and 'wobble' base-pairing, i.e. permitting non-standard base-pairing at the 3rd anti-codon position. The record is from Rfam by way of RNAcentral. RNAcentral also lists the same sequence under 1 other name. Lineage: Eukaryota; Metazoa; Chordata; Mammalia; Artiodactyla; Bovidae.
UCCUUUGUGGCUCAGCUGGUAAAGCAUCCGCCUGCAAUGCGGGAGACCUGGGUUGGAUCCCUGGGUCAGGAA